GACGAACGCUGGCGGCGUGCUUAACACAUGCAAGUCGAACGGAAAGGCCCUGCUUUUGUGGGGUGCUCGAGUGGCGAACGGGUGAGUAACACGUGAGUAACCUGCCCUUGACUUUGGGAUAACUUCAGGAAACUGGGGCUAAUACCGGAUAGGAGCUCCUGCUGCAUGGUGGGGGUUGGAAAGUUUCGGCGGUUGGGGAUGGACUCGCGGCUUAUCAGCUUGUUGGUGGGGUAGUGGCUUACCAAGGCUUUGACGGGUAGCCGGCCUGAGAGGGUGACCGGCGACAUUGGGACUAAGAUACGGCGCAGACGCGUACAGGAGGCAGUAGUGGGGAAUAUUGCACAAUGGGCGGAAGCCUGAUGCGGCAACGUCGCGUGCGGGAUGACGGCCUUCGGGUUGUAAACCGCUUUCGCCUGUGACGAAGCGGGAGUGACGGUAAUGAGUAAAGAAGCACCGGCUAACUACGUG
Molecule: ribosomal RNA, 468 nt
Filed under: uncultured bacterium
Lineage: Bacteria
Description: partial 16S ribosomal RNA
Rfam family: Bacterial small subunit ribosomal RNA
Source: RNAcentral